This 84-nucleotide transfer RNA is filed under the name Bacillota bacterium. Its description in RNAcentral is "tRNA-Leu". It matches the Rfam family "tRNA". Rfam says of the family: Transfer RNA (tRNA) molecules are approximately 80 nucleotides in length. The record is from RNAcentral. Lineage: Bacteria; Bacillati; Bacillota.
GCGAGAGUGGCGGAACUGGCAGACGCGCACGUUUAAGGGGCGUGUGAUUUCAUCGUACGGGUUCGAUUCCCGUCUCUCGCACCA